Long non-coding RNA from Arabidopsis lyrata subsp. lyrata, 855 nucleotides. RefSeq lists it as uncharacterized. The record is from RefSeq and is a predicted model, not a curated record. NCBI's taxonomy places the organism in Eukaryota, Viridiplantae, Streptophyta, Magnoliopsida, Brassicales, Brassicaceae. The transcript is spliced from 2 exons.
AUAUUAGGUUUUUACAUAAAUAUGUUAUUUUCACAUAAUUCGAUUAGAUAAUCUAUCUAUUACUAAUAAAAGAAACUAAUAGAGGCCUCUCAAGCCAUCCACAUCAGCAAAAUGAAAACUAUGUAAGAGGAUGCCACAUCACCUACACCUUACCCACGUCAUCUAAACAUAGAGAAAGAAAUCGUCUCUUCGCCUCCUCCCGAAAACGUUCGGCCACAAACUUUCCCUAAAUCCAUAAAUCUCCCACAAUGCCACAAACUCUUCGAUUUCAAGCUUCUCUCAUCUCCUAUGGCUUCCGUUUUCAACCCAUAUCGGGUUACUUUUGGAUUCAAGUUCAGUACAUGUUCUUUGAAGCUCCUCUCAUCUCAUGUUAAACCCAAAGGCCACGAUCUCUUCAGUUUUCAAUGCGGUUUACUCAUCCAAAAUCAACACAGCCUUUGUAAAUAGAGUAUCCGACAAACCAUAGAGGCUUCUCUCCAUUUUAAACCUUUUGUCUGAUUAAUUAUCAAGUCACUGGAUAAUCAAACAAGUUCUUCAUGGUGACCAAAAGCAGAAGAAAAAUUGAAAGUACUAGAACAUCCACAAGGGUGAGUGCAUCUCAAGGUAAGCCAGAAAUAAGAACGAGAUAACGGGGUAUGUUUCUAAGCGAGUAUUUAGUGUAUCAUUAUCUUUAUUUUUCCCUCCUCUACUAUAAAUAAUUUAUAAAUUGUCUCCCUUACCGGGAUGAAGUGUUUCAAUUUCAGGGUUUGUUGUCUACGUUUUCGAAUCUGAGAUUAUGUAUUCACAAAAUUCCAAAGAUUGGCUCAGCUAAUCAAAUGGAGAAUGUUCUUUUAUUAGGACUUCUAGAAAUUAUUA